AUGCCGUCCCGUCCUAUGCAAGGCGUCGCUCCCCCAAUUCCUUGUUCCCCCAAAUCCCUAGCGAGGCUCUGUGCUGCAUUCGGCGCAAUGGGGCGGAAGGAGAUCAUGGAGCCCGGCAUCGGCGGGCCGAAGGAGAUCUGGGACCUCGUCAGCGGCAAGCAGAUGGAGACCAUCGGCCUCGUCAGCGGCAAGCAGAUGGAGACCAUUGGCCUCGGCAGCGGCAAGCUCCAGGACUAUCCCUUGGUGAGGCGGCUCCGCAACCGGCGGCUCCUCACCUACCUCUGGCUCCAGGGCUUCGACGCCGCCUACGACAGCGUUGUGCAUGAGUCGGGUGUGCAGAUGAGCAGGCUACAUCUGCGGCAGCUGCUGAUCCGGGGCCAGUGGAGAGAGGCCAUCAAGUACAUAACGCGCUUCCUGCCGCCGGCCGUUGAUCGGGGCGUCGAGACCCGUUCCCUCCUCAUCUUCCUCCACGCGCUCUGGUCCCUGGCAAACGUCGCCGGGUGCUCAGCGGGCGGCUUCGCGAACCAGUCCGUGCACCGCGACCUCAGCUUCCUCAAGUCCAUUUGCAGUCGCAGCGCCAAGCUCGCCUCCAUCCUCCAAUACACACUCCACUCGCCGCAAUUUAGGGCGUCCCUGAACUGGAUACUGGUGAGGGAGAAGGCAUCGUUCAUUGCCGAUGACUUGGCUCUUGAGAGUCCUGAGUUGAGACGCAAGUUGCUAUUGCCCGGCGGCCCAGGUCUCCCGCAGGACUUGUUUCCCAUCAGUCCCCUUCGUCCAAGGCGCCACUGGACGCAACAAUUCCCGCGGCCAAAGCCGGAGGCUAUUGCCAAGUGCUAUCUCAAGAGGAGGAGGAGCCUGCCCUCUGCAAGCCCACUUUAUGGAUUGCCCGAUAAUGCAGUCAGCCGGGUGUCAGAUCUUAUUGAGGGGUGUUUAAAAGCCGGUAAACUUCCGGAGCUCCAUCGAGGGAACCCACUUCAAUCAAAUGCAAAGGAAGAAAUGGCUAGAGUGCAGGGUCAAAGCUCAAAAGCUUGUUUCCUUUGGGUGAAAGUAGAAAGGAAGAAAGGAAGAAAGACCAUGGGGCCACGUACGCUGGGCAGUCGGUCAGGAUACUUGGGUCAGCCUUGA
RNAcentral lists this ribosomal RNA (1125 nucleotides) under Triticum aestivum (bread wheat). RNAcentral describes it as "partial small subunit ribosomal RNA". Lineage: Eukaryota; Viridiplantae; Streptophyta; Magnoliopsida; Poales; Poaceae. The record is from RNAcentral.